RNAcentral lists this unclassified non-coding RNA (250 nucleotides) under plant metagenome. RNAcentral describes it as "partial contains small subunit ribosomal RNA, internal transcribed spacer 1, and 5.8S ribosomal RNA". The record is from RNAcentral.
GUAGGUGAACCUGCGGAAGGAUCAUUAAUAAAAUGUCCCAUAAAUUUUAACAUUUCCCCUGCUCUUUGAUAUAUCCGUCUCGAGAGAGGUUGUGGUCUAUUGAAGGGUGUGGGGAGAUUAAUCACUUUUUGCCUGUUUUAUACUUUUUUGGGGGAAAUGGCGCAGGAGUUGUAGUAGCAUUUAUGUGAAAGUGACUCUUGUAAAUUUUGCUCAGAUUUGUAUGUAAAUGGGUAAUCUAAUUUACAAGAUG